ACGGGAGGCAGCAGUGGGGAAUAUUGGACAAUGGACCGAGAGUCUGAUCCAGCAAUUCUGUGUGCACGAUGAAGUUUUUCGGAAUGUAAAGUGCUUUCAGUUGAGAAGAAAAAAAUGACGGUACCAACAGAGGAAGUGACGGUCCACCACGUGCCAGCAGCCGCGGUAAUACGUAUGUCACGAGCGUUAUCCGGAUUUAUUGGGCGUAAAGCGCGUCUAGGUGGUUAUGUAAGUCUGAUGUGAAAAUGCAGGGCUCAACUCUGUAUUGCGUUGGAAACUGUAUAACUAGAGUACUAGAGAGGUAAGCGGAACUACAAGUGUAGAGGUGAAAUUCGUAGAUAUUUGUAGGAAUGCCGAUGGGGAAGCCAGCUUACUGGACAGAUACUGACGCUAAAGCGCGAAAGCGUGGGUAGCAAACAGGAUUAGAUACCCUGGUAGUCCACGCUGUAAACGAUGAUUACUAGGUGUUGGGGGUCGAACCUCAGCGCCCAAGCAAACGCGAUAAGUAAUCCGCCUGGGGAGUACGUACGCAAGUAUGAAACUCAAAGGAAUUGACGGGGGCCCGCACAAG
This 571-nucleotide ribosomal RNA is filed under the name uncultured bacterium. RNAcentral's name for it is "bacterial SSU rRNA". It matches the Rfam family "Bacterial small subunit ribosomal RNA", at positions 341 to 929 of the family's 1533-position model. The record is from RNAcentral.